RNAcentral lists this ribosomal RNA (237 nucleotides) under Triticum aestivum (bread wheat). RNAcentral's name for it is "partial small subunit ribosomal RNA". Lineage: Eukaryota; Viridiplantae; Streptophyta; Magnoliopsida; Poales; Poaceae. The record is from RNAcentral.
AUGUAUAGAGCGUUAAUCCAGUCUGAUGUGCCAGUUGAUAGUAACAAGAAGAUCUGGAAGAUGAAGAUACCUCUUAAGAAUAAAAUCUUUGCAUGGUAUCUUCAUCGCAGAGUCAUUCUUACUAAAGACAACCUUAUUAAGGGAAAUUGGCAUGGCAGUCCGCAAUGUGUCUUUUGUCACCAUGAUGAGACAGUAAAACAUUUGUUCUUCCAAUGCAAAUUUGCUCGUUCUAUAUAG